UACGUAGGGACCAAGCGUUGUUCGGAAUUACUGGGCGUAAAGGGCUCGUAGGCGGCCAACUAAGUCGGAUGUGAAAUCCCCAGGCUUAACCUGGGAAUUGCAUUCGAAACUGCGAGGCUAGGGUACGGAAGAGGGAAGCGGAAUUUCUGGUGUAGCGGUGAAAUGCGUAGAUAUCAGAAGGAACAUCAGUGGCGAAAGCGGCUUCCUGGUCCAGUACCGACGUUCAGGCACGAAAGCGUGGGGAGCAAACAGG
This 253-nucleotide ribosomal RNA is filed under the name uncultured bacterium. RNAcentral describes it as "partial 16S ribosomal RNA". It matches the Rfam family "Bacterial small subunit ribosomal RNA", at positions 524 to 776 of the family's 1533-position model. The record is from RNAcentral.